AUAAUCUGCAAGCUGUUAUUGCAUGCUGUGAAGCAUAUUACUAAUUGCCCAUUACCCAUUCCAGCUCUUGACUAUCAAUGAACACUCGAGACAAAAAGAAUCGGAUCGUCAAAAUACAGAAGAAUGUACUGCUUUCUCAUCUAUCUGGACGAGGGGUGUAUGGCACUACCUAAAAGAAAAACAUGAAGCAGCCUCGUGGACUUCUCUGGAUGGCUUGAUAAGAAACCAUCACCCUGUAACAAUAGCGACUGAUAAGCUGGACAACAGGAAAAGAAGAUAAUGGUAUGUACUAAAUCUUCUUCCUAUUACAUGGUCCUUAGUUGCUCUUGUUUAGCUUAGCUAUAGUGCUGUAUAUAUGUAUGUGUAUAAAUGUUAACAACCAAAGCUUUCGUCUAGCUAAUGAAUGUUGUAGCAUAAAAGGAGGAGCAUGCCAAAUUUGUAAUGAUCUUCUGGUUCCCAGGUGAUGUGUUGCUGGUAAUUGUUUUUCUACUUUUAUAUUUGUUUUCUGCAGUAAUUAGUUGCAGAGGAUACCUAUUUCGAAGUUGUCUGGACUUUCAAAUUGCAUGUUGUUAUUUCUCAGUCUCAUCAUAUGUUUUCUUAGUCUUUAUAAAGAGCAUUUUGCAAUAGUGGCUCAAUGCUUUGAAAUGUUUUAAGGUUUUUGGAUUUUCACAGGCAUAUCUUCCUCAGACAGAAUGUUCUAUGCUUUGCUACAGAAUAAGACGUGUAGUGAGAGAGGCCCAUUCUGCAGCUCUCUAAUCGUAACUAUAAAACAGUAGAAGAAUCAAAUCCCUCCAAAAAUUCCUUCUAAGAGAGUUGCCAGAACUUAUUUGACGGUGAAAUUUAUAUAGAGUUCUAUAUAUGUUUUGAGAUUGCAACCAACCUUUAGCCAAUAGCUAUUCUGAAUUAGAGGCAGUGUUGAGAUGAAAACGGCGAUUCAGUUCUUAGGAUGCAUCAGUGUAAAUACAUAUGAAAGUAAUUUAUACAUUGAUGCAUCUAAAAAUAAAUAAAAAUGGAUAGCGAUUCCCAUCUAGAGAUCAUGGCAGUAAUCUGGAAGAAUAGAAAAGCCUGAUAAAUACAUACAAUUAAGACUACAGAAAUUAAUGGACUUCAUUCUUAUUUAUGCAAUAUCCCCAUCGAACCUUUAUAUUUAUCACAAGAGAGUACUUUACUAGGUGGACCCACAAUUACCAAAUUAUCUAAGUCAUCACUAUUACAAUAUCCAAAAAAAGCCAGGAUCACAUCCAUAUGCAAAGCCACCUUCAAACCCCUUGCAAUAUCCUUCAAUAAGUGUUAUUAACAUUAUGCAAGUAGUGAUCAAGAAUAAUAUACAUCAAAUUGAUGAACCACAUCUUCAAUAUUAUCAUCAAUCAGAAAAGAUCUAGUCAUAUUUGACAACAUCAAUGAACAAAAAAAAUUCUUAUCCACGUCAAAAUAAUUUCUCCUUCUCCAUGUAUGCCUAGGGUCGAGUAGAAGAUUUUCUAUAGAUGGGAAAAUCCCCAUGCUAAUAUCCCCAUCCAUGUCUUGUGUGAGAUCCCAAAUUCUUAACACCUAGUGACAAAGCUUUGGAUUUUUAUUUCCGUCUAUACAUACACCAUAAAUUAAUCGUCUCUCUUUUCUCCCAACCCCAAAUUUAAAGCCUUUUGUGGACGCCAUAUGCCAUAGCACCACAAACCAUAAAUAACAUAUAAUGCCACCAACCCUACCUAUAACCAAAAUACAUAACAUCCAUCAUUGCUUUUACUUGAAUGAAUGAGAAUGUUCAUCAUCUCAUCCCAUAAAUUGUCCCUUUAUAGAAAUAAUAUCAUUACCUUACCUAUCACAUGCUACCUAUCCUACCCAUUAUUGGGUGAUUAAACAUUUAUAUCCUCAUGAAUAAGUCUCAAGGCCUCCAUUGAAUACCCAUUACAUCAAUAAUUAUUGGACUAUCCUUCCUUCCUUCUUAAUCCCAUACACAUAUUGGCAACCUAGUUAAUAAAAGGCAACCUCAUCAAAAUAGGUCACUAAGUAUUUGAUUAAAUAGUUUGUAACAACCAAUUAUGAUUUCCCUCCACUAUUCAUUAUGAUAGUGACAAAAUUAGAGUUAUCUUCUACCCAUAAAAUAUAUUAUAAUAUUUUUCUUUAACCAAGGACAACCCACAU
Long non-coding RNA from Cryptomeria japonica (Japanese cedar), 2139 nucleotides. RefSeq lists it as uncharacterized. NCBI's taxonomy places the organism in Eukaryota, Viridiplantae, Streptophyta, Pinopsida, Cupressales, Cupressaceae. The transcript is spliced from 3 exons. The record is from RefSeq and is a predicted model, not a curated record.